This 253-nucleotide ribosomal RNA is filed under the name uncultured bacterium. RNAcentral's name for it is "partial 16S ribosomal RNA". It matches the Rfam family "Bacterial small subunit ribosomal RNA", at positions 524 to 776 of the family's 1533-position model. The record is from RNAcentral.
UACGGAGGGGACUAGCGUUGUUCGGAAUUACUGGGCGUAAAGCGCACGUAGGCGGAUUUGUAAGUUAGGGGUGAAAUCCCGGGGCUCAACCUCGGAACUGCCCUUGACACUGCAAAUCUCGAGUCCGGAAGAGGUGAGUGGAAUUCCUAGUGUAGAGGUGAAAUGCGUAGAUAUUGGGAAGAACACCGGUGGCGAAGGCGGCUCACUGGCCCGUAACUGACGCUCAGGCGCGAUAGCGUGGGGAUCAAACAGG